GAUGAACGCUGGCGGCGUGCCUAAUACAUGCAAGUCGAGCGAACGGACGAGAAGCUUGCUUCUCUGAUGUUAGCGGCGGACGGGUGAGUAACACGUGGAUAACCUACCUAUAAGACUGGGAUAACUUCGGGAAACCGGAACUAAUACCGGAUGAUAUUUUGAACCGCAUGGUUCAAAAGUGAAAGACGGUCUUGCUGUCACUUAUAGAUGGAUCCGCGCUGCAUUAGCUAGUUGGUAAGGUAACGGCUUACCAAGGCAACGAUGCAUAGCCGACCUGAGAGGGUGAUCGGCCACACUGGAACUGAGACACGGUCCAGACUCCUACGGGAGGCAGCAGUAGGGAAUCUUCCGCAAUGGGCGAAAGCCCGACGGAGCAACGCCGCGUGAGUGAUGAAGGUCUUCGGAUCGUAAAACUCUGUUAUUAGGGAAGAACAUAUGUGUAAGUAACUGUGCACAUCUUGACGGUACCUAAUCAGAAAGCCACGGCUAACUACGUG
Molecule: ribosomal RNA, 497 nt
Filed under: uncultured bacterium
Lineage: Bacteria
Description: partial 16S ribosomal RNA
Rfam family: Bacterial small subunit ribosomal RNA
Source: RNAcentral